RNAcentral lists this ribosomal RNA (484 nucleotides) under uncultured bacterium. Its description in RNAcentral is "partial 16S ribosomal RNA". It matches the Rfam family "Bacterial small subunit ribosomal RNA", at positions 29 to 507 of the family's 1533-position model. The record is from RNAcentral.
AUUGAACGCUGGCGGCAGGCCUAACACAUGCAAGUCGAGCGGAUGCAGGGAGCUUGCUCCUGGAUUCAGCGGCGGACGGGUGAGUAAUGCCUAGGAAUCUGCCUGGUAGUGGGGGAUAACGUCCGGAAACGGGCGCUAAUACCGCAUACGUCCUGAGGGAGAAAGAGGGGGAUCUUCGGACCUCACGCUAUCAGAUGAGCCUAGGUCGGAUACGCUAGUUGGUGGGGGAAAGGCCUACCAAGGCGACGAUCGGUAACUGGUCUGAGAGGAUGAUCAGUCACACGAGAAGUGAGACACGGUCCAGACUCCUGCGGUAGGCCGCAGUGCGGAAUAUUGGACGAUGGGGGAGAGCCUGAUACAGCCAUGCCGCGGGUGUGAUGAAGGUCUUCGGAUGGGAAAGCGAUUUAAGUUUGGAGUAAGGGCAGUAAGUUAAGAACUGGCUGUAUUGACGGUACCAAAAGAAGAAGCACCGGCUAACUUCGUG